ACUCAAAUGAAUUGACGGGGGCCCGCACAAGCGGCGGAGCGUGUGGUUUAAUUCGAUGCAACGCGAAGAACCUUACCAAGGCUUGACAUGCUAGUGGUACUGAAUCGAAAGAGGAGGGACCCUUCGGGGAGCUAGCACAGGUGCUGCAUGGCUGUCGUCAGCUCGUGCCGUGAGGUGUUGGGUUAAGUCCCGCAACGAGCGCAACCCUCGCUGUCAGUUAAAUAUCUCUGACGGGACCGCUGGGAUAAACCCAGAGGAAGGUGGGGAUGACGUCAAGUCAGCAUGGCCCUUACGUCUUGGGCUACACACACGCUACAAUGGCCGGUACAAUGGGCUGCCAAGGCGCGAGCCGGAGCUAAUCCCGCAAAACCGGCCUCAGUUCAGAUUGCAGGCUGCAACUCGCCUGCAUGAAGGCGGAGUCGCUAGUAACCGCAGGUCAGCACACUGCGGUGAAUACGUUCCCGGGCCUUGUACACACCGCCCGU
RNAcentral lists this ribosomal RNA (485 nucleotides) under uncultured bacterium. RNAcentral's name for it is "partial 16S ribosomal RNA". It matches the Rfam family "Bacterial small subunit ribosomal RNA", at positions 899 to 1397 of the family's 1533-position model. The record is from RNAcentral.